UAUACAGGUCAUUAUGUGCCACAACUAGCUGACCUUGUCUAUGAGAGGAACAAAGACAAGAAGGCCAGCACAUACAUCAACUUUAAAGGGUUCAUUGUUGGAAAUCCACUAACUGAUGAUUACUAUGACUCGAAGGGAUUGGCCGAAUAUGCUUGGAGCCAUGCAGUUGUAUCAGAUGAAGUUUAUGAUCGCAUAAAAAAGGAUUGUGAUUUUAGAGCCUCAAAGUGGACCGAUGAUUGCAACAAAGCCAUGAACACCAUCUAUGGACAGUACCAGUUGAUCGACAUAUACAACAUUUAUGCGCCCAAGUGCAAUCUUGGACAAACAUCAGCAGCAUCUGUUGUUGAUAAAGCACUCGAAUAUAGUGACCAUGAACCUUCCAGGAGGAGGAUUAGGUUGUUCUCGGGAUACGAUGAGUGCUACUCAUCUUAUGCUCAAGAGUACUUCAAUAAGGCAGAUGUGCAAAGGGCACUUCAUGCAAAUGUCAAUGGGAUGUUGCCUGGGAAAUGGCAAGUUUGCAGUGACUCCAUUCUGAAGUCGUACAACUUUUCGGUACUUUCCAUUCUACCAAUAUACUCCAAGCUCAUCAAAGCAGGACUGAGAGUCUGGCUCUACAGUGGAGAUGCGGAUGGCAGGGUCCCAGUGAUCGGGUCACGAUAUUGUGUGGAAGCACUUGGCUUGCCUAUCAAGUCACAGUGGCAACCAUGGUACCUGAACAAACAGGUUGCUGGAAGAUUUGUGGAGUACCAUGGUAUGACCAUGGUGACAAUAAGAGGGGCUGGCCACUUGGUACCCCUCAACAAGCCCACAGAAGGGAUAGCGCUGAUCGACGCAUUCCUUCUUGGUAAACAGCUUCCUACACACCGAUGA
RNAcentral lists this ribosomal RNA (870 nucleotides) under Triticum aestivum (bread wheat). Its description in RNAcentral is "partial small subunit ribosomal RNA". The record is from RNAcentral. Lineage: Eukaryota; Viridiplantae; Streptophyta; Magnoliopsida; Poales; Poaceae.